AUUGAACGCUGGCGGCAGGCUUAACACAUGCAAGUCGAGCGGGGUGAUGGUGCUUGCACUAUCACUUAGCGGCGGACGGGUGAGUAAUGCUUAGGAAUCUGCCUAUUAGUGGGGGACAACAUCUCGAAAGGGAUGCUAAUACCGCAUACGUCCUACGGGAGAAAGCAGGGGAUCACUUGUGACCUUGCGCUAAUAGAUGAGCCUAAGUCGGAUUAGCUAGUUGGUGGGGUAAAGGCCUACCAAGGCGACGAUCUGUAGCGGGUCUGAGAGGAUGAUCCGCCACACGUGGGCUGAGACACGGCCCAGACUCCUACGGGAGGCAGCAGUGGGGAAUAUUGGACAAUGGGGGGAACCCUGAUCCAGCCAUGCCGCGUGUGUGAAGAAGGCCUUAUGGUUGUAAAGCACUUUAAGCGAGGAGGAGGCUCUUUUGGUUAAUACCCAAGAUGAGUGGACGUUACUCGCAGAAUAAGCACCGGCUAACUCUGUGCCAGCCGCCGCGGUAA
RNAcentral lists this ribosomal RNA (503 nucleotides) under uncultured bacterium. Its description in RNAcentral is "partial 16S ribosomal RNA". It matches the Rfam family "Bacterial small subunit ribosomal RNA", at positions 30 to 523 of the family's 1533-position model. The record is from RNAcentral.